Non-coding RNA from Lolium perenne, 1512 nucleotides. The record is from RefSeq and is a predicted model, not a curated record. NCBI's taxonomy places the organism in Eukaryota, Viridiplantae, Streptophyta, Magnoliopsida, Poales, Poaceae.
CAACUAGUUUUCUCUCAACAUCUUCAAAAUUCCAUUCCACUUGAGUUCAUUCCCAAUUGUGUCUAGACAAUUGAGGUGUUCCAUAUACUUUUCAAAUGAAUCCUUUCUCAAAUGGCAAAACUUGCACAUCUUAUGCACAUCUCUGAUCUACCACAUUGUAUCCCCUCCAUCCUCCAAUUCUUGAUCAAAUGGAUAAUCAUUUGAUACUUUCAAAUCACUCCCAAUUGACCUCUUAUUUGAAGAGCAACUUAUAUUUCAUUAUGCCUAUCUCACUCCUCUAUUAUUUUCCAUCAUCACCUUGACCUCAUGAAUUGAUGAUGUAUGUCAAUAUAUUCAUCCUUGUGAGUAUAUGGUUACUUCACUCACCAUCUCUCCUAGCCUUGCUCUACCAUUGUCUAAAUCACCAUCACCACCAUCAUCUCUUGGGCACAUCUUUUAUCAGGUCAGAAUGUCACCACCAUCUACUUUAGCACCCUUGUGCAUUAGUAUCACUUUGCCUAAAAUUGUAUAUCUUUUUAGGCCACCAUUUUAGUAAUUUGUGAGGCACUCAACCUUGGGUGUCAUGCAUGUGUAGCAAUUAUCUCUUGUUGAUCACUUGUGCAUGGCCAAAAAUAUGUGGCCGGCCAUGCCAUGGCACACAUGCAUCAUGCCUCUCCAUUUCCCUCUCUCUCACAUAAUUACUCCACCUUGGGAUGCCUCUCCUCCUUUGUCCCUUCCCAAUGCCACAAAUAAAUUCAGCUUGGGUCAAAUAUCUCUUCCCCAAACCAGCCUCCCAACUAACCCAAUCAAUGAAGAGGCUACCUCCCAACCAACCCAAUCAAUGAGGAGGCAGCCCACCCCCUCUCCCUCUAUAUAAAGGGGCUUGGCAGCCCACCCCCUCCUCACUUGCUCUCACUUUUCCACUCCCCACUCUCUCCUCCACUCCCACACACUCUCCUCCUACCUCUCCCCACGAAAUUGCUGCUCCUCCUAGCUUCAUGGCCGGCCAUGGCCAUGGAAAGCUCACCAAGAUGCAGCUCCUUCCUCCCUCAAGCUCAUCCUCACCAUGAGAGCCUCCCCCUCCAUCUUCUCCCCAACCUUAGAUGGUUUAAUCUCCUCUUCUUCUCUCUCCAUUGCUAAGAUUGGAUCUUGAUGCAGGUGCAUGUUGGUCCAAGCAUGGAGAAGAUUCUGGUACGAUCUUGUAAAAUCCGCCAAAUCUCGCGUGCAGAUCCAAAUCGAGUGGUUCAAAGUUCUGCAGAUAGAUCAAGAUCUGGUCAGAUCUGACUUUGUCGAAUUAAAUCAGGAGCUUGGAAAAGAAUUUUUGAAUGAAACCAGAUGGGGGAUAUUUGGUUUAUACCAUGGUGAUAACCGAGAGAGGCAAUUGCUAAGUUGUGACGCACUCAUACCUCUACUAGAUGCGAACAAUUCCGGAGAAGAAGAAGAAGUGGUUCGGACAAGGAUUUUAUUUAUAUUGACGGGAUUCUUAUAUUGAUGAAGUUGAAGAAGUCCAGGGACAAAUAAGCCAAGGCAAGC